Molecule: ribosomal RNA, 254 nt
Filed under: uncultured bacterium
Lineage: Bacteria
Description: partial 16S ribosomal RNA
Rfam family: Bacterial small subunit ribosomal RNA
Source: RNAcentral
UACGUAGGGUGCGAGCGUUAAUCGGAAUUACUGGGCGUAAAGCGUGCGCAGGCGGUCUGUUAAGACCGAUGUGAAAUCCCCGGGCUUAACCUGGGAACUGCAUUGGUGACUGGCAGGCUUUGAGUGUGGCAGAGGGAGGUAGAAUUCCACGUGUAGCAGUGAAAUGCGUAGAGAUGUGGAGGAAUACCGAUGGCGAAGGCAGCCUCCUGGGCCAACACUGACGCUCAUGCACGAAAGCGUGGGUAGCAAACAGG